This 762-nucleotide ribosomal RNA is filed under the name Prevotella melaninogenica. RNAcentral's name for it is "bacterial SSU rRNA". It matches the Rfam family "Bacterial small subunit ribosomal RNA", at positions 28 to 777 of the family's 1533-position model. The record is from RNAcentral. Lineage: Bacteria; Pseudomonadati; Bacteroidota; Bacteroidia; Bacteroidales; Prevotellaceae.
GAUGAACGCUAGCUACAGGCUUAACACAUGCAAGUCGAGGGGAAACGGCAUUAAGUGCUUGCACUUUUUGGACGUCGACCGGCGCACGGGUGAGUAACGCGUAUCCAACCUUCCCAUGACUAAGGGAUAACCUGCCGAAAGGCAGACUAAUACCUUAUGGUCUUCACUGACGGCAUCAGAUGUGAAGUAAAGAUUUAUCGGUUAUGGAUGGGGAUGCGUCUGAUUAGCUUGUUGGCGGGGUAACGGCCCACCAAGGCAACGAUCAGUAGGGGUUCUGAGAGGAAGGUCCCCCACAUUGGAACUGAGACACGGUCCAAACUCCUACGGGAGGCAGCAGUGAGGAAUAUUGGUCAAUGGGCGAGAGCCUGAACCAGCCAAGUAGCGUGCAGGAUGACGGCCCUAUGGGUUGUAAACUGCUUUUGUAUGGGGAUAAAGUCAAUCACGUGUGAUUGUUUGCAGGUACCAUACGAAUAAGGACCGGCUAAUUCCGUGCCAGCAGCCGCGGUAAUACGGAAGGUCCGGGCGUUAUCCGGAUUUAUUGGGUUUAAAGGGAGCGUAGGCUGGAGAUUAAGUGUGUUGUGAAAUGUAGACGCUCAACGUCUGACUUGCAGCGCAUACUGGUUUCCUUGAGUACGCACAACGUUGGCGGAAUUCGUCGUGUAGCGGUGAAAUGCUUAGAUAUGACGAAUAACUCCGAUUGCGAAGGCAGCUGACGGGAGCGCAACUGACGCUGAAGCUCGAAGGUGCGGGUAUCGAACAGGG